AGACGUUCUAGAGUCUCAUGUGUAUUAUUAGUUGCCUAAGUUCAUAUGAGCUAGAUUGUUUGUGUCAUGGUUUGCUUUUUUUGUUGCAGUAUAUGCAGUUUUUGUCUAAUCAUGAACAUAGAGGACAUGAAAAGUUUGAGUUGGAAUAGCCAAGGCGUCUGGUUUUUGCGUUCUCAGCGUGCUUUUCUCUGUUUCUUCUCUGUCCAUAUUUCUUUCUUCUGUGAAUUCUUGUUGAUGCUGUAUUAAUCCUGUACGGAUCCUAAUUAUCGGUUCAUUGCAUUUAUCAUUCAUUUAUUGUGGAAAUUGGCUAUGAAUUCAUUCCUGAUGCAAGAAAGUGCAACCUAUAGAAUGGCCAUUCUAAAUAAUAUUGGGGAAACUGUCAUAAAAUAAUUGGAUAAAACGACUUGAAAAAGUGAAGCCUGGAAUCAUUCUUCCAUGUCAUGGGCCAUCCUGUUGCUCUGUGACCCUGUCGUUAUCAUCUUGCUUGAUUGUUUACAUGCACAUCUAUCUACACACUUGAGUCAUAAUGUUUAUAUAAUGUGAAAUUCUUCAAGAGAAAGCUAAUUUUUCUGAACUCAAACCUAAUUUUUGAUGUCUACAUGGUUAUGCAGAGAAAAAAAAUUUGAACUUACUCAAAAGAAUCUCAGAAGACAAUUUUUCUGAAUUCAAAGCUAAUUUUUGAAGUCUACACGGUUAUGCAGAGAAUGAAAAACUUGAAACCAAAGAAAAGGCAAAUAUCUGAAAAUCUACCAGAUUGUAGGAAUCAUUUUGAAUGUACAACAUUUGGCAUGGGAACCGAGAAAUAUCCAGUUAGAACUUUACG
Molecule: long non-coding RNA, 823 nt
Filed under: Olea europaea subsp. europaea
Lineage: Eukaryota; Viridiplantae; Streptophyta; Magnoliopsida; Lamiales; Oleaceae
Source: RNAcentral